Molecule: ribosomal RNA, 252 nt
Filed under: uncultured bacterium
Lineage: Bacteria
Description: partial 16S ribosomal RNA
Rfam family: Bacterial small subunit ribosomal RNA
Source: RNAcentral
UACGGAGGUGCGAGCGUUGUCCGGAAUCAUUGGGCGUAAAGGGCGCGUAGGUGGCGGGACAAGCGUGCGGUGAAAGCCUGGGGCUCAACCCCGGGUCGGCCGUGCGAACUGUUUUGCUUGAGCACUGUAGAGGCAGGCGGAAUUCCGGGUGUAGCGGUGAAAUGCGUAGAUAUCAAGAGGAACACCUGAGGUGAAGACGGGUUGCUGGGCCGACACUGACGCUGAUGCGCGAAAGCCAGGGGAGCAAACAGG